GAGGGGGUGGGAGUGCGCGCAUCAUCUGCAAAGUGAGCACCGCGGUAGAUACGUCAUAAACGAAUCGAAGAGGCUGACGCGAGGGGGACGACACGUCGCUGCCGCAGUGGUGGUCAUGGAGGAUGCCAUCGACUUCAUCCAGAGCCGUCCGCUGAUCGGGUAUCAGAUGGACGGCUCCCAUCUGAACAACGUCCUGGUCAGUCUGGCGCGUCAGCAGCAGCAGCUCAUGGACACGCAGAAUCGGCUCAACGACCGUCUCGCCGACAUCGCCGACGACGUGCGAGAGAUUCGAGAGCACCAGAAGCAGCUAGAAUCCGUUAUUGGCGAGCUCGGCGGUCCUGAGCAGCUGCACCAGGUCCGGUCGCGCAUCGCCGACGUGGAGAGGGCCGUGGAUGGGCUGGUGAGCAACGUGCAGGAUGCAAAAGUCGUCGCGAAUGCGGCUGGGCGAGAUGCCGAUCAAGCCGGGCGGCUCGCCGAUGACGCGAACCGUGCGGCUUUGAGCCUUCGCGACGCGGUGGGCGCGCUGGGCGGAGACAUGGACCGGGUAGCCCACCAGCUGGAGGCGCAUCGCACAAGCAUCAGCAAAGCUCUCGGCGAUCUCGACAAGGAUCGCCACGACUUGGAGCAUCAGAUGCACGAGGCUAUGCAAGAGGUGCUGCAGCGCGCAGAGCGCAUGGAGCGCGAGAGCGGGGUAGAGCGCCUACGUCAAAUGCUGGACGAACUCAGUGAUCGCACGGAUGAGAAUUUCCGCAGCGUCGAGGAGAGCGCGCGAGCGGUAGACGCGGAGCUGUCGCGGCAGGGCGCCAAUCAAGCUGCCCUGCGCACAGAGAUCUCUGCGCUAGAUGAACGGGCCCGCACCGCGCUGGCGGCGCUAUCGAGUGACAUAGACAACAAGCACCACAUGCUGCUAGACGCCUUCCGUCAGUACGAGGCUGGUUGGACGGACUUGGAGGAGCACAUGGUGCGUGCAGGGCAGAUGUUGGCGAGCCGAAAGCAACGCUCUCCUGGCUCUACGAGUAUUCGACGCUGAGGCAUGUGGAACGCGCGGCUCAAAGCAGAAGACUCUGCGAGGCGGGAAGGACAUGCUGCGGUGCAUCUUCAAAGAAGGGAACGUGGUCAGCACUGAGUUGUUGGGGAGCUUUUCUGACGCGAGGGCCGUUAGCCUUUUUUCGCUGUCGUUGCAGGCGGGGCUCAGAGGCUUUCGGAUCUUGCUGUUGUCGAAGAAGACGUUGGUUGGGUUGCCGCCAUCAGAAGCACGGAAGCCUUGCGCACCUCUUCUUCACGUUGCCAUUCAAUAUUGGUGUGCCUGCAUGUUCGUUUGUGGCUUGACGGGUGUGCGCGCCUCCAUUCCCCGUCCCCUUCGCUUCCUCGCUGCACAAUGUCCCUGUGCUCGGCACUGCUAAAAGGCUUACCUUUUCAUGAGUUUUAUUGUUUUGUGUUCCGGGCAUCUGUGUUGCGUCGGUGCGCGUGUGUGUACAGGCUUCCUUGUGUACUUUUAUUACUAUUCUUUUCCGUCGGUGUGUGCGCGUGCGAUGCGUGUGGCAUCGCACACUCACGCAUGUGUUUAUCCACGCACACAGGCGCGCACACGCCCUUUUUCCAUAGAUCAACCUCUCAUCUCGGCCUCACCGCAUGUGCCGUUGGCUGUUGAUUGUGUAUGUGUGUGUGUGUGUGCGUGUGUGUGUGUGUGUGUGUGUGUGUGUGCCGGCGAAUGAGGUGAUUGCCACGCCCCAUGCGUGCGCGCAUCUUCGGAUAAAUGGAUGGUGGCAAAGCAACGGUACACAACGAAACUGUGCACACACGGAGAGUCGGCCGGCAAGAGAAGCGGUAGCGAUGUGGAGGUUGCACGAAAAGACGCUGCCAGGCGUCCUCUGGCUUCGUUCCGGUGGCCUCCCUUUUUUUUCUUUCUGUUUCCUUCGCCCUGCCUCCCUCGCACACACACUUCGUAAGGCCAAUGCACGGCCUAGCUC
This 1970-nucleotide unclassified non-coding RNA is filed under the name Leishmania donovani. Its description in RNAcentral is "gene:LdHU3.19.0800(CDS-product:hypothetical_prote in_conserved)". The record is from RNAcentral. Lineage: Eukaryota; Euglenozoa; Kinetoplastea; Trypanosomatida; Trypanosomatidae.